Molecule: ribosomal RNA, 1134 nt
Filed under: Triticum aestivum (bread wheat)
Lineage: Eukaryota; Viridiplantae; Streptophyta; Magnoliopsida; Poales; Poaceae
Description: partial small subunit ribosomal RNA
Source: RNAcentral
AUGGCGGGACUGGGUGGCUCGUCUGCUCGUCUCGGCUCGGUCGGCCCAAGCAUCCUCCAUCACCGUGGGUUGCACCAAGGAGACCCGCUCUCCCUCUUCCUCUUCAUUUUGGCCAUCGACCCACUGCACCACCUCAUCGCGGCGGCACUAGAUCAGCAGCUGUUACAUCGCCUCCCAGGCCGCGGCCUGGUGCUUCGUGUAAGCCUCUACGCCGACGACACAGUUAUCUUCAUAAACCCUAGACGAGAAGAGGUAGAUUCUCUGUUGCACAUCCUUAGCGACUUUGGCAAGGCAACUGGGCUCUGUAUCAACCCGGCCAAAUCCACGGUCUUGCUGAUCCGUUGCGAGAACAUCAACGCCGAGGAGGUGCUCCAGGGUUUUGCAGGCUCCAUCGCCCCCUUCCCCAUCAAAUAUCUUGGGCUGCCGGUCUCUAUAGGCCGCCUUCGUUUGGUCCACCUCCAGUUCAUCAUCGACAGAAUCAAGGCAAGGCUUGCGGGCUAGAAGGGCAAACUGCUACCGAUGGCCGGCUGCCUCGUCCUCGUCCGAUGCACGCUGAGUGCCAUGCCAACCUUCGCCCUCACCGUCCUACGUGUCCCAAAGAAAAUUCUCAAGGAGAUCGACAAGUGUAGGCGACGUUUCCUCUGGUGCCAGGACGACGAGAUUUCGGGCGCCAGCUGCAAGGUCAACUGGCCAGCGGUCUACGCCCCGACGGAGCAAGGAGGCCUGGGCAUCCCUGACCUGCAUUGUUUUGGCAGAGCGCUGCAGCUGCACUGGCUCUGGAUUUCCUGGCACCACCCGGAGCGGCCUUGGGUGGGCACCGAGCUGCCUUGCGACGGUGCGGACAAGGCGCUCUUCGCGGCCUCCACCAGCGUUGCGAUCGGCGACGGGGCUCGGGCCUCCUUCUGGCUCUCUUCAUGGAUCGGCCAGGGCUGCCUCUCGCAACAACUCCCACAAGGUUGUUCAGCUACUUGUGGCGCAAGAACAGAUCGGUGCGGGAGGCCCUCAGAGACGACACGUGGAUCCGCAACCUUGUCCAUGACAACAACCGCCAUCUCCUGCCGGACGUCCUCGCCCUUCAUCGUCUGCUCCAGGGGACGGACGUGCAGCUACAACCAGGAGUGCCGGAUGACCUGA